UAAUACGGAGGGGGCAAGCGUUGUUCGGAUUUACUGGGCGUAAAGGGUGUGUAGGCGGCUGGAUAAGUCUGGCGUGAAAUCUUCACCGCUUAACGGGAAGGGGUCGCUGGAAACUGUUCAGCUUGAGUAUGGUAGAGGCAAGCGGAAUUCCUGGUGUAGCGGUGGAAUGUGUAGAUAUCAGGAAGAACACCGGUGGCGAAGGCGGCUUGCUGGGCCAUCACUGACGCUGAGACACGAAAGCGUGGGGAGCAAACGGGAUUAGAUACCCCGGUAGUCCACGCUGUAAACGGUGCGCACUAGGUGUGGGGGGUAUCGACUCCUCCCGUGCCGACGUUAACACAUUAAGUGCGCCGCCUGGGGAGUACGGCCGCAAGGUUG
RNAcentral lists this ribosomal RNA (378 nucleotides) under uncultured bacterium. Its description in RNAcentral is "bacterial SSU rRNA". It matches the Rfam family "Bacterial small subunit ribosomal RNA", at positions 521 to 896 of the family's 1533-position model. The record is from RNAcentral.